This 1057-nucleotide long non-coding RNA is filed under the name Naja naja (Indian cobra). RNAcentral's name for it is "lncRNA (ENSNNAG00000000636.1)". Lineage: Eukaryota; Metazoa; Chordata; Lepidosauria; Squamata; Elapidae. The record is from RNAcentral.
CAUGGUUUUCUAUCUGGCUCCAAAGCCUAUGCAGACUUUGUAGUUCCUUCAUUACUCAUUUAUCAGGAAGUCCUUUUUACCCAUUAUAGCAGGGGUGUCAAACAUGUGUUGUCAGGGCAGUGUCAUGUGAUGUAUCGAGACUUUACCCCCCUUCGCUAAACUGGGCGGGGGCAGGACCAGCACUCACAGCCCGCGGGCCCGCAUCCAGCUCGCUGGCCGUGAGUUUGACACUCCUGCAUUAUAGGUAUAGCACUUUCACUUUUAAUUUCCCUGUUGUGAUUGGGCAAGGGGUUUCUGGAUCAUUAUCUAAGGAAAAACCAGCUUUAUUCCAUUUUAACCCAGAUUUGGUAAGUGGAAUAGGGAGGAACUAGUUUCAGCUCCGCCCUUAGUCAUGGCAAUUCAUUAGGGAUUUUGGCUUGAUCAUGUUCAUUCCUAGCACAGCCUGGGGAAGAAGGGAGAAACAAGUGUUAUGUAUGCUCCCAAGAGCUCUUGAACAAAAGGAAGGAGAGACAUCAAAGAAGUGAAUAAAUAUGAAGGGAGAUAAAAAGACUUCUUGCUGGGCUGAAACUUUGCUGAAACAAGAAUGGUGCUAGUUUGUUGACUACCUUCAAGUCCUUGUUUGAUCCUUUGGCCCGCAAGCUGAACCAAAAGUUCACCCUUCCUGCACCUUUUGCUGGCUCUACUUAUCUCCAGCACCUGUUAAUAAUUGUCAAUAAAUAUGGCAAGAUGCCAUAUGGAAAUUUGAGACCCUAUACUCAAAUACUGCUGGAUUAGCAGGCACUAGUUGGGAAAGCUGCUUCACCAAUUUAAGUCAUCACCUGGUUGCUGAAAUCAUCAAGAGAUAGGCAUUUAAUCCAAAUAUGCUGAAUGAUCUUGCUUGUGUAUUCAAAAUGCUUUGUCAAAUUCCUAAGAUGGAGGAAAAUAACGACAGCCUUACACAUAUAGAGCAGAAUUGUGAUGGCAUAUACAGAGCCGUACCUCCACACCACAGAUGCUUUCUGUAACAUCCAAGGUGAGCUUUUUGCUUCCCCUUUGGCAGGGAUAAACUGACAGCUGU